CGGACCACUUCGGUGGUCAGCGGCGGACGGGUGAGUAACACGUGGGCAACCUGCCUGUAAGACUGGGAUAACACCGGGAAACCGGUGCUAAUACCGGAUAAUCCUUUCCUUCACAUGAAGGGAAGCUGAAAGACGGUUUCGGCUGUCACUUACAGAUGGGCCCGCGGCGCAUUAGCUAGUUGGUGAGGUGACGGCUCACCAAGGCGACGAUGCGUAGCCGACCUGAGAGGGUGAUCGGCCACACUGGGACUGAGACACGGCCCAGACUCCUACGGGAGGCAGCAGUAGGGAAUCUUCCGCAAUGGACGAAAGUCUGACGGAGCAACGCCGCGUGAGCGAUGAAGGCCUUCGGGUCGUAAAGCUCUGUUGUCAGGGAAGAACAAGUACCGGAGUAACUGCCGGUACCUUGACGGUACCUGACCAGAAAGCCACGGCUAACUACGUGCCAGCAGCCGCGGUAAUGCGUAGGUGGCAAGCGUUGUCCGGAAUUAUUGGGCGUAAAGCGCGCGCAGGCGGUCCUUUAAGUCUGAUGUGAAAGCCCACGGCUCAACCGUGGAGGGUCAUUGGAAACUGGGGGACUUGAGUGCAGAAGAGGAAAGUGGAAUUCCACGUGUAGCGGUGAAAUGCGUAGAGAUGUGGAGGAACACCAGUGGCGAAGGCGACUUUCUGGUCUGUAACUGGCGCUGAGGCGCGAAAGCGUGGGGAGCAAACAGGAUUAGAUACCCUGGUAGUCCACGCCGUAAACGAUGAGUGCUAAGUGUUAGAGGGUUUCCGCCCUUUAGUGCUGCAGCUAACGCAUUA
Molecule: ribosomal RNA, 801 nt
Filed under: uncultured bacterium
Lineage: Bacteria
Description: bacterial SSU rRNA
Rfam family: Bacterial small subunit ribosomal RNA
Source: RNAcentral